GACGAACGCUGGCGGCGUGCUUAACACAUGCAAGUCGAACGGAAAGGCCCUGCUUUUGUGGGGUGCUCGAGUGGCGAACGGGUGAGUAACACGUGAGUAACCUGCCCUUGACUUUGGGAUAACUUCAGGAAACUGGGGCUAAUACCGGAUAGGAGCUCCUGCUGCAUGGUGGGGGUUGGAAAGUUUCGGCGGUUGGGGAUGGACUCGCGGCUUAUCAGCUUGUUGGUGGGGUAGUGGCUUACCAAGGCUUUGACGGGUAGCCGGCCUGAGAGGGCGACCGGCCACAAUGGGACUGAGAUACGGCCCAGACUCCUACGGGAGGCAGCAGUGGGGAAUAUUGCACAAUGGGCGGAAGCCUGAUGCAGCAACGCCGCGUGCGGGAUGACGGCCUUCGGGUUGUAAACCGCUUUCGCCUGUGACGAAGCGUGAGUGACGGUAAUGGGUAAAGAAGCACCGGCUAACUACGUG
RNAcentral lists this ribosomal RNA (468 nucleotides) under uncultured bacterium. Its description in RNAcentral is "partial 16S ribosomal RNA". It matches the Rfam family "Bacterial small subunit ribosomal RNA", at positions 28 to 507 of the family's 1533-position model. The record is from RNAcentral.